RNAcentral lists this ribosomal RNA (497 nucleotides) under uncultured bacterium. RNAcentral describes it as "partial 16S ribosomal RNA". It matches the Rfam family "Bacterial small subunit ribosomal RNA", at positions 28 to 507 of the family's 1533-position model. The record is from RNAcentral.
GAUGAACGCUGGCGGCGUGCCUAAUACAUGCAAGUCGAGCGAACAGACGAGGAGCUUGCUCCUCUGACGUUAGCGGCGGACGGGUGAGUAACACGUGGAUAACCUACCUAUAAGACUGGGAUAACUUCGGGAAACCGGAACUAAUACCGGAUAAUAUAUUGAACCGCAUGGUUCAAUAGUGAAAGACGGUUUUGCUGUCACUUAUAGAUGGAUCCGCGCCGCAUUAGCUAGUUGGUAAGGUAACGGCUUACCAAGGCAACGAUGCGUAGCCGACCUGAGAGGGUGAUCGGCCACACUGGAACUGAGACACGGUCCAGACUCCUACGGGAGGCAGCAGUAGUGAAUCUUCCGCAAUGGGCGAAAGCCUGACGGAGCAACGCCGCGUGAGUGAUGAAGGUCUUCGGAUCGUAAAACUCUGUUAUUAGGGAAGAACAAAUGUGUAAGUAACUAUGCACGUCUUGACGGUACCUAAUCAGAAAGCCACGGCUAACUACGUG